AGGUAUAGUAGGUAUCCUGCAAAGGCGUCUUGUUGGCCGCCUGGCUGAUCAAUACCUAUCCAACCAGCGACCCUCUGCCCGCACCCUAUGCCCACGGGGCCGUGGACCGUGCCUACAUCUCUAACCACCCCUGAACUCGCCACCGCUACCACCACCACCAACGUCGCCACCACCAUCAACCUUCUGCCACCACUACCACUCGUCACGACUACCACCCCCGCUAUUCAGAAGAGCGGUAGUAAUGGCAGCAGUGGCAGGAACGGCAGCACCCUUGCUCCUACUCUCUGGCCCCUACCGACACGCGUUGACCCCUACGCAAUUUACAUCGCGGCCUCCAUAAAGUUAAUUGAAAUUUCCGCCCGCCACAGCCGAACCAGUCGACGCCGCUGCUGUAAAGAGAGCUCUUCUGUCAGGUCGUCGCGUGUCUUACGAGGUCGCGUUGUUUUGCUCGAUUUUCGGGAGACAGGGUUGGGACGAUCAAGGUAGAGAGAAUUAUAAGGGCGUGUUACGAGGGAGUAAUGACGAUUCUUCCGUUAUGGUUUGCUUAUGGUGUAAUGCAUGGGAAUUUAUAAAUUAAAAUAUUGAACGUUUGAAGAAUUUCAAUUAUUUCGAAUAGACGGAAAUUGUUAAUGAUUAAAUUUGUCGAUUAUUAAUAUUUCGUAAGAGUUGUGGAGAACGGGAGAACCAUUUGACCCAAUUGAAUUCGCAUUUUAUUUUCAGUAUCAGAUCUAUAAUAUAUGCUGGUAACUUAUAGCACAAAAUGAUUUAUUGAUCGUUAUAAUUAUGAUUUUACUUAUAAAAUAUUAUUGUUAUAUUGUUAUUAAAUUUCAAGAAAAUUGUAUGAUCAAUUAAAUUCAUUUUUAUAAUAUUAACAAAAUAAAAAUUACGAAAAUUGUGAAAGAAGUAAUUGAUAUAAUUCGCUCAAUGUUUAUUUUUCAAAUCCAUAAGAAAUGCUUUCUUCUAUCAUUAUUCUUUUAUUUUUUCACAAAAAUAAAAAUGUAAAAAUAAAAAAUAAAAAAUAAAAUUUUUCAUUUCUCUAUAAUUUAAUCUUUAAA
Apis cerana (Asiatic honeybee) is the source of this 1055-nucleotide long non-coding RNA. RefSeq lists it as uncharacterized. Lineage: Eukaryota; Metazoa; Arthropoda; Insecta; Hymenoptera; Apidae. The record is from RefSeq and is a predicted model, not a curated record.